UACGUAGGGUGCGAGCGUUGUCCGGAAUUAUUGGGCGUAAAGGGCUCGUAGGCGGUUUGUCACGUCGGGGGUGAAAACUCGGGGCUUAACCCCGAGCCUGCUUCCGAUACGGGCAGACUAGAGGUAUGCAGGGGAGAACGGAAUUCCUGGUGUAGCGGUGAAAUGCGCAGAUAUCAGGAGGAACACCGGUGGCGAAGGCGGUUCUCUGGGCAUUACCUGACGCUGAGGAGCGAAAGUGUGGGGAGCGAACAGG
Molecule: ribosomal RNA, 253 nt
Filed under: uncultured bacterium
Lineage: Bacteria
Description: partial 16S ribosomal RNA
Rfam family: Bacterial small subunit ribosomal RNA
Source: RNAcentral